AAUGUCUGUUAAAGGUUUCAUGUCAAUCCAUCCCUCCAUCCUUUAGUCCAGAUCCAGUCCAUCUGGACUAAAGUAGUGGACUGACCAACAGACUGACAUUAACAUCAGAGCCAUGCUGCUAGUGUGGCUAAAAGAGAAGAGAAGAAGAGACAGUCAUGUCGAUAUGAACAUUAGAGAAACACAUCAUGGAGCUGAAAUAUGAUCCUGCUUCUUCAUUUGAACUCCUUCACCUCAGCUGACACGUUCACCAGCAGACAGGUUUUUGUACCAGUCUUUCUCACUGUGUGGAGGAUGGUGGUACCUCAUCUUUGGUUCUGGGACUAAACUGUAUGUAACAGAGGAGCAGAUGGUGAAGCCCGUGGUGAACGUCUGCCCCAUUGAAUCCAACGUCCACCAGGAGGGGAAGAGCUCCCUGCUGUGUCUGGCCUCAGCCAUGUUUCCUCCUCUGGUCCAGUUCUCCUGGAAAAGACAGAAGGAGGACGGCUCUCUGGAGGACCUGCUCCCUGCUGAGGGACAGUUCAGAGGGUCCAGACAAUCCGCCGUCAUCAGAGUGGUUGAUGGUGAUGCUCUCAGCAGAUAUAAAUACAUCUGCUACGUCAAGCAUGAGGGGGAAACAGUGGAGGCCCAAACACAACAAGAGGUUCCUGCUUCUCCUCCACCUGCUUCUCCUCCACCACCUCCUCCACCUGCUUCUCCUCCACCAGUUUAUGCAACAACUCCUCCACUUCUGAAAAAAGAAACAUUUCCACCAUCUGAUCCAGCUGCAACCUCUGUUCCUGUUCUCCACCCUGUGAAGCUGUCAGUGUCCUUCCAGUCUGAGUUGAGGGUGAAGCUGCUCUUGCUGCUGUCCACAGUGCUGAUAGUGAAGAGUCUGGUGUACUGCUGUGGACUCUUUCUGCUGAUGAUCCUCAGAAACAAGGGACCGUCCACCAACUGCACACAUGCUGACUGACUGUUUUCUGCUGGACUUUUCUCUCCAUCAAAUCUCAUCAAUUCAUCUCAUUCAUCACUUUGAUCAGGAUUCACAAAUGUUAGUUAUGACAUGUUGUAGUUGCUUUAAAAUUUCUCUUUUUAUGCAGAUUUUACAGAGUUAUAUUCAGAAUUUACAUCCAUUUAUUAACAUUUAUAUUUGCUGUCAUAAACUGUAAAUUCUGAAAAAAAGUUUAAUCUUGAUAAUUUAUUUUAUAUCUGCUUUCUGUCUUUGAUAUAUUUGAUCAUUGAACGUUUUUCUAUAAUAGAGAUUUUUCAAAACAAAACAAAAUGUUUUUUUUUUUUUUUUUACUUUAAAUCAUAACAUGAUUCUAUGCAUGUCACAA
Melanotaenia boesemani (Boeseman's rainbowfish) is the source of this 1316-nucleotide RNA transcript. RefSeq lists it as uncharacterized. The record is from RefSeq and is a predicted model, not a curated record. The transcript is spliced from 4 exons. NCBI's taxonomy places the organism in Eukaryota, Metazoa, Chordata, Actinopteri, Atheriniformes, Melanotaeniidae.